This 13798-nucleotide long non-coding RNA is filed under the name Capsicum annuum. Its description in RNAcentral is "long non-coding RNA (CANN_LNC016858)". The record is from RNAcentral. Lineage: Eukaryota; Viridiplantae; Streptophyta; Magnoliopsida; Solanales; Solanaceae.
UGGACAGUAGCGCCCCCGAUUUUCGUUCUUGAUCAGCUUUAUCUGCAAGAAAGAGUGCAUCUGGAUUCACUUCUAUGAUCCCUUUUAUAAUUGGAUUAGCUUUCUGGAUUUCACUUAGAUAGAGCUCAACAAGUCGUCUUGAGGUAAGUUUGUUUUGCUUGAAAGCUAUUUGAAUAUCAUCUAUUGUUGUUUCCUUAAAUGAGAAUGUUUUUGCCUCAGUAAUGUUACUGUAGUUGGAUAAUAUCAUGCACUGAGAAAUGAAGGGAGUGGAAAGAACAGACAUUUUUGGUUGUCAAAGUGAUUGAAGAUACUUACGUCAACAUUAGCCACAAAAAAGUGGAUAAGGAAUAAAGAGUCAUGAUAGAGUUGUUUUUGUAUGACUUAUACGUCAUGAGCUGCGGAAACAAUUGUACGAGGGUAGACUACCUACAUACACACUUUUGGGUGUUGCCCUUCUCUAAAUUCUGUUGAUUAUAUAGGUCACGUGUUGAAGCAGGGAAUCAGUCACUAAUGCUUGUGUGAGGGUAGACUACCUACCUUACAUCUCUAAAUUCUGUUGAUACCGAGAUGUUUCAUGCAUCGAGCUGCAUAUUUUUGUAAUAGUGGAGAUGCAUAAUUAGAGCUGACCAUAAAGGUCUACUCCUUCCGAUCCCAAAUAUUAGUUGUUUUGACAAAGUAAAUUUGUUCCAAGAAAAUAAGAAAUUUACUUUCGAUUUUCAUCUUCCAAGUUUACCAUCAACACUUCAAUUCAAUUAUUGGAGUAUUAAUCAAGUGAGACGUUUAAGAGAGACAAAGGUUAGCCUAACAAAUACUUUUAUGAGUAAGGUUAUUAAAUAUAUACUUCUUCAGUCUCAUUUUAUGUGUUUUUUUUUUUAGUUCGUCUUAAAAAGAAUAUCACUUUUUCUUAUUUGGUAAUUAUUUAAUGACAUCAUUGUCAUUUUAUCCUUAGUGGAUCCUACUUAUUAAGAAAAAACAACUAAAAAUUAAACAAUAAAAGAGACAAUUUUGUAAACUUUACAAAAUUAUUACUCCAUCUGUUUCAUAAUAAAUGAAUUGUUGAAUUUUGACACACAGAUUAAGGAAAAAACAUUAAAGACAUAAAUUUAACAUAACUUUUCAUUUUUAUCCCAAAAAAAAGAAAAAGUUGACCUUGUAAUACCUUUUCAAAAAUUAAUUGAUUGUUCAAUGAUUCACUUAUUUUGAAACACUAAUAAAUAGCUCAACAAUUCACGUAAGUAAUUAUUUUUUUAAAUUCCAUGCUCGAUCAAAUAACAACAGAUAAAAUGAGACGAAGAUAGUAUUUUUUAAAUAGCGUGCCAAAAUUGUUAAAUACAGAUAAUAUGAAUCAAUAUUAUAAUAUAUGGAGAGGAUGGCCUGUUGAAAGAUAAGAUGCUUUUAAUGUGAUUUGACAGAUUUAUUUCCAAAAGAUCCAAAAUCCAAAUGCCUUUGUGGGUCCACUAAUCACUAUCAGACUAUUUUUUCUAUAAUACUCUUUCAGGGAAAGCAUAUGUUGCAAAUGACAAAUAAUUCAGAAAUUAUAAUUGUCAUGAUUGGUAAGUCUAUUCUCCUAGUUAAUUGAUCAUUACUACAUGCUAAUCAAUAUAUAUAUAAGUUGAAUGUAGAUCCGGUGAUGUGGCAUUCUUUAGAUUUUCCUUAUCUUCAGCUAUCUCAUUUAAGGAAUCAAUUAGUGCAGAGGCAAGAGAUCUUAGCUUGUUGAGGGAGUAAUCCUUCAUAUUCUCUUUAAUAUCUAAGAGAGAUGAAGGUCUACUUUCAUUUUUGUCUAUGUCUGCCAUCAACACAGGAAGUCCAUCAGAGGCUCGCACCAUUUUUUAUUGCCGUACAGGAAAUGUCUUUCUUUUGUUCAAACUCAUUUGAAUCACUUGAUGAAUCAUUCCACCAAGCUGCAAGCAUCUGACUGGCAAUUUUGUCAGCCUCAGUUUCCAGCUGCACUUCUCGGUGACCUUCUGCUUCCCCUUUUUGGACACCUCUUCAGAUCUAUACAAGUCUUCGAGAAACUUUUUUGCAAUCCGAGCUGUUUCACUAAUUUUUGAGGUGUAAGUAGCUUGUGAAGCCUUCAUUUCUCUGGAUCCUUUUAACGUGUUAGCCUGAUCACGGAAAAUCUGCUCUGAUAUCAAAUGAAAGGAUUGGGGGUGGGUUGGUUCUCGAUUCAGGGAAUUGUUCCCAGAAUCACACACGCAAUAAGAACCAAGAGGAAAAUGCAGUAAGUAAUGCAGGAGUACAAAAGGUAAAGACACUAGGAUUUUUAUAUGCAAACUCCUUGCCUGCCUCCAGGAUUUUUAUAUGCAAACUCAUUGGUUGAGUCAAAAAGAUUGCAACAACUUUUCACCUAACUUUUGUACUAUGUGUCAGCUGAAAAGUUGAUUGUCACAGUGAUAAGUGUGCCCAAUUUGUUCUAUAAUGCGUAGAGGCCUUUGUCGUCACAACAAAAACUUCAAGGAACAUAUUACAAACUAUGAAUUUGUCAAUCAUCAAAACUAAUAACACUUAACCUAUUUAAUUAUUUUUUUAAAAAAUAGAAUUUACAUAUGUGAAAUUUCCAUUUAAAAAUAAAAUUCUGAAAAGUAAAAAAUAUCUCUUUAAUAACCGUUUUAUAAUUCCCUUAAAAUUAUUAUCUCUUCCUCCCCUUUCUCAUCUUUCUUCUUCUUUUCACUUUAUUUCCAUAAUUUUUUUCAUAAAUCACACAUUAUAAUUUAGGACUUGACAAUCAAAAUUGUAUGAAAUGGAAUUACUAUUGUAUUUUAUAUUCACAUUUUAUUUUUGUUUUGUCUUUAAAAAAGAAAAAAAAGGAAAAGCAAUAAAGAGGAACAAAAGAAAGAAAAAAUAAAAUAAACUAAAAUAUCCUGAUAUAACAAGAAACAGUAGGUAGAAACAAACAACAUAUGACUUAUACUAAGGUGUUCUGAUAUAUGUCUUAUUUGUGAUUAUUAUUAAUGAGAAGAGUUAAUGAUCAAAAACACAUCUGAACUAUUGAUAUUUCGCGAGUUUCACAUUGCAAUAACCAGUUGUUCCCUUUUCCGAUCCGAGCUAUCACCAUCGUCCAGGCAGGAAAAGGGAACAACUUACAGUUCAUGAGGUGUAUUUUAAUAUAUAUAGAUGGUGAUAAUUCGGGGUGGAAAAAGAGAACAACCGAUAGUUGGGUGUGAAACUCGCGAAAAUGAUAGUUCAGGUGUAUUUUUGACCAUCAAUAAGCAGAAUGCAUCUGUAAUUGACGACUAGCUAUGAUGCGAAGAUAGAGGCUAAACAUGAAAUUCCUCGGGCAUAACAUUUUCAGUAAAACAAGAAAUUAGGAGAAGUUACUAACUACAUGAGCAUCAGGAAGAUGUGUAAUGUGUUGCAGUUGAGGACAGUGAACAUGAAACAAGAAUCACAUUUCCAUAACAUAACAAUUCUCAAUAGUAUGAAUCUUGCUAGAUAUUAACUAGAGUGGCCAGAAGAUAUAAAAGUUCAUCGAUAUUACUAUAUGAUUAUUUGUCUGUCAACAUUUUGCUCUGGAAUGCUGUACUUGAUAACGAACACAUCAUUUCGGAUGUGCAUACAUUCUAGAUCGAGUCGAAUAUGUAAUUCUUAUCGAGGAUGUGAAGGAGGGGGCUUCCUGAUAUGAGUUGCUUGUUCAAAACCAUAUGCAAUCUCGAUGAGUGUUGGCUCUGAACCCUUCAGUCCUCCAAAGGAAAUUCCAACGGGAACUCCACUUUUAUCAUAACCAGCAGGUACAUUGAUCCCUGGAUAACCUUCGAUCGCGAGAAGACUAGCAAUGUCUGCACCAGGUGACAUCAACGCGUCUAGCUUAUUAACUUUUAUCAUCUUCUCAAACCCGUAUUUGCAUACUUUUGUUAUGUUCCUCAGUGCCUCCCUUUCCAAUUUCCCUAUUCCAUUCGUCUUCUCAGCUGCCAUCAUUAUGCCUUGACCAUAUUCUUUGAACUUUUCCUACAAUAAUAUAUAAGAAGAACCAAUCGCUUAAACUAAGAAGGGGAGCCUUGGAGUAACCGAUAAAGUUGCUACCAUGUGACCAGGAGGUCAUGGGUUCAAGCCUUGGAAACAACCUCUGGCAGAAAUGCAAGGUAAGGUUGCGUACGAUACGCCCUUGUAGUGGGGCCCUUCCCUGGACACCGCGCAUAGCGGUAGCUUUGGUGCACCGGGCUGCCCUUUUUUUUUUCAGUCGCUUAAACUAGAAAUAGCCCGUGGAUGUAUAAUAUAUGUAUGUAUAAUAUGUGAAUAACAGUGUGUAAUUUAUGUUUACCGGAAAAGAACAGUAAACAGUGCAUCCGUCCAGCUACUUUAAACAUCCCUAAAAAGAAUGAAAACAGAUAUAUCUCGAUUCUACUUCUAGUGACAUACAUAAGUUCAGCUAAUUUCAAUUUACAAGUGAAAGCUUUUAGUUCCUGCAAUAAUGUACUACAAACGAAUAUGAACAUACUGUUAACAAAUUAUUUAUGAACAAAGUAGUAAUGGAGUGGCUUUGGCGUGAAUACGACAGAAUGAUUACAUCGAUUCCUAUAACUAAUAUCAACUUUGUCUGAUAUCAAGGUGCAGUUAAUUGAGAUCGACUAGUACUUACCGAAGCUGAAAUCUUGUUAAAGGCUAUGACAUCUGCCAAGGAUCGGACUUGAGUAUGAACUAGCUUCUUAAGAUAUGCAUUUAGGUCCAUCUUGAAUUCAGCAAAAAGUGCUAUGUCUUGAGCAUUAACAAUAGCACUGUAGACCAAGUCGAUGUUAGGUACUUCGACGUUGUCAACUAAUACUACUCCUUUUUGCCUUUCCAGAAAAAAAGCUCAUCUCUAUUAGGAAAUUAAGUAAAACUAAACCAGAGAAAGGCAUAAAACAUAGAUAGACACCUUAACUUUCUGGCAACUGAACACUUUAACUUAGAGCAUGCACAUCAAUUAAUCUCCAUUGUGUUAGUUGAACACUUCAACUAACAAAAUGAUCAUCUAGAAGCCUCCAAAAUUUAUGUGACACAUCAGCAUCGGGAGUCCAUGAAACACAACGAGAACGAGUAGAGGUGUUUAGAUGUGCACUCCCUAAUAUGGAGUGUUUACUUUUCAGUUGAGACUAGUCUUUUAUCUUUGAGAAAUGCAGACGAAAACGGAAAGAUUACCUCAAGGUGUUGAAAUGGUGUUGGCAAGCUUUGAUAUCAUUGGAACCCAAAAGGUCCUUUAAAAUACCUAGUCUUUUAUCUUUGAGCCCAUCAGCCUUAAGAAAUUGCCGGUAUCCACCAUGUGGAAUGUAAGUAGAAGCCUUUUUAGUAGCUGGAAAAUCAUCUCAAUCGAUGCCAACAAUGACAUCAAGAACCUCAACAGCAUGAGAUACUGUCCUGCAGAUUGGUCUGUUCUAUGCAAAAAAACACAUUGUGUGAAGAGAUUUCGAAUGUCUUCUAUGUUCAUGUUUGUUACCAAGUUCGUUGCAUCUCUAACAAACCUACAAUGUCUAAAUUCAGGAUCUAAUAAGUAAUCCUAUUUUGCACCAUCAAUUUUCACUAUUGUUCAAAAAUCUAGCAUUAAACAGUUCUGCAAAGAGAAAAAAGAUCGAAAACUCCAUCCAUUCUAGUUCUAGUUUAUGUGAGCUAUUUUCUAUCAGCUAGUCUGUUCCAAAAUGAAUGACACAUUUCUAUAUCCGGAGUUUUACUCUAAAUUUCUCGUUUUACCCUUAAUAAGAGUUUCAAAAGCCAACACAAAAAAUGACUCUAAUGAAGGUUAAACAUUCUGUGUAGAGGAAGAAAGUCAUAAUAUUGUAGCUGCGCACGGUUAUUUUUGCCGAUUGAUCUUCCAAUAUGCUAAUUUAACGACUCUCGUUCAUUACACUUCUUCCUUGCUGCUUGACAUCUAGCUGAUAGUAGGUUUACCGCUUUAGGUGUCAACACUACAACUUUCAGUCUAAGUAGUUUCAGUUACAACCAAUCUAUAGUUGAUAUUCAAAGAUCGAGUAAUUAAUACAUGAACUUCCCCUUCUUUCUUAAAGUAUGCACCAAGUCAAACUAUGUUACAUACAUUGUGACGAGAGUACUACUAGAGGAGAAAAACAUUCAGAAGAUCUAAAGUCUGAACUUUUACGUACCCAACAGUGUCUUGCAAUUGUGAAAUUGGGAUAACACCUGCCCUGUUAGUGAGGUCAACAGUUGGUUUGACUCCAACAACUGAAUUAGCAUUGGCUGGAUAUAGAAUGGAUCCUGCUGUUUCUGUCCCCAAUGCUAGUGCUGCAAGGUUUGCUGCUACUGAUGUUGCAGAACCAGUGCUUGAACCUGAUGGAUCAGCACUUGCUACAUAAGGAUUCUGUAACAACAUGAUGAGUAAAAAACACCAGGUUAUUAAACUCUUUUUAGUCAAAUUAUCAAAAAAGGCAGCCACGAGGGGGUGUGCAUAGACAGUCUGCCCUGACGUAAGCCUAGUGGUUGAUUCCCCAGCUCAAACAUGUGACCUAUAAGUCACACAGAAACAACUUUACCAUUGCUCAAACUUAAAGUAGUAUAUAGUGUUUAAUACUAUUAUAGGCUUCUUCAAAUCUUUGUUUGUCUUUCAUUUUUAUAUUUUGCAUCUUAACUAAUAUCAUAGAGGCGGUAUCAUCAUUUUUUUUCACUAAUUUUCUCAAUCUAUAAGUUUAACGACUUGAGUUAUGACCUGUUUUGGGACUUGAAUUACUUCUUCAUUACUCUUACAUGCUUGACUUAGUUAAGCUGUAUUUAGGGGAAUCAUUUUUUCUCAAUCAAUAAAGAACGAGACUUUACCAAACAAGCACCGAUAUUGAUGAUAGUGACCUUGAUACGGAGCUGGAACUGCAGAGAGACUCUUCCUAUCUUAUUAGUCAAGCGCUAAUUUACUGACAAUCACAUGUUAUAAUUCACUAGUGGUAUAAAAUUCCUUAUACCGUCCGUCAGCAUAUAUAACUUAAAAUUUUUUUACCAAUGACUCACCAGAGCUUGACCAAGUCUGCCAUUCCAACCACUAGGGAUAUUCUCAGUUCUAAAAGCAGCCCAUUCAGUCAUAGUUGCCUUGCCAAGUAUGAUAGCACUAGCAUUCCUCAACUUCUUGAUCACACCAGCAUCUUGUGGCACAAUGGACCCAACAAGUGCUAGUGAUCCUGCUGUUGUGUUAAGUUUAUCUUUUGUUGCAAUGUUGUCCUUGACAAGAACUGGUAUACCAUGUAGCCUGCUGGACAGUGGUACCCCCGAUUUUCGUUCUUGAUCAGCUUUAUCUGCAAGAAAAAGUGCAUCUGGAUUCACUUCUAUGAUCCCUUUAAGAAUUGGAUUAGCUUUCUGGAUUUCACUUAGAUAGAACUCAACAAGUUGUGUUGAGGUAAGUCUGUUUUGCUUGAAAGCUAUGUGAAUAUCAUCUAUACUUGUUUCCUUAAAUGAGAAUGUUUUCGCCUCAGAUUUGUUCCUGAAGUUGGAUAAUAUCAUGCACAGAGAACUGAAGAGAAUGGAAAAAAGAGACAUUUUUUGUUGUCAAAGUGGUUGAAGCUAUCUACUUCAAUAUUAGUCACAUAAAAAUGGAUAGGGAAUAAAGAGUCUUGGAGAAAUGAUAAAGAGUUGUUUGUUUAUGACUUAUAGAUCACGUGUUCGAGCGGUGGAAUCAUUCAGUAAUGCUUGUGUGAGGGUAGACUACCUACAUUACACACUUUGGGGUGCGGCCCUUCUUUAACAAGAAAGCAAAAAAGAACUGAAUUCAUGUCCUCAACCAAAGAUCAACAGGCAGAAUACAUCUUUAUUUGACAACUAACUAUCACACCAUGAUAGAGGCUAAACAAGAAAUUCUUUAGGCAUAACAGUCAGUAAAAUAAGACACUGUGAGAGGUUACAAACUACAUGAGCAUCAACACAGCGAGCAGAUAGAAGUAUCACAUCUCAAUUGGACUACUAUUGUUUUUGUCGGAUUAAGAGAAAGAUGGAUAACAUAAUAAUUCUCGAAGGUAUGACUCUUGCUAGAUAUUAACUAGAAUGACUCGAAGAUAUAAAAGUUCAUCAACGUUAUUUUAUGAUUUUUUUUUUCCUUUUGUCAACAUUUUGCUCUGGAACGUUGUACUUGAUAAUUAACAAAUCAUUUCAGAUGUGCAUACAUUCUAGAUUGAAUCGGAUAUGUAAUCCCAAUGAGGAUGUGAAGGAGGGGGCUUUCUGAUACGAGUUGCUUGUUCAAAGCCAUAUGCAAUCUCAAUGAGUGUUGGCUCAGAUCCCUUUAGUCCUCCGAAGGAAGUUCCGAAUGGAACUCCACUUUUAUCAUAACCAGCAGGUACAUUGAUCCCUGGAUAACCUCCUAUCGCGAGAAGAUGAGCAAUGUCAGCACCAGGUGACAUCAAUGCGUCUAACGCCUUUUCCUUCAUCAUCUUCUCGAACCCGUAUUUACAUGCUUUUGUUAUGUUGCUCAGUGCCUCCCUUUCCAAUUUCCCUAUUCCAUUCGUCUUCUCAGCUGCCUCCAUUAUGUCUUGACCAUAUUCUUCGACUUUUUCCUACAAUGAUAUAUAAAAGGAAAGAAGAAAAAUCAACUUAGAUGGCCGCACAUCCAACCUCUUAAACUAAAUAUUGUUUGCGGAUGUAUAAUAUGUGUAUAAUCCACAUAUAACAUGUGUAUAACCGUGUAUAAUCUGUAUAUCGGCGAGGAACGAUAAGCAGUGAAUCCAGCCAACUAUUUAUGUAAAGUUCCCUAAAAAGAAUGAAAAACAGAUAUACUUCGAUUCUACUUCUACAGACAUGUAGUUCAGCUAAUUUCAAUUAACAAGUGAAAGCUUUUAAUUCCUGCAAUAAUGUACUGCAAACCAAUAUGAACAUAUUGUUAAAAAUUAUUUAUGAACAAAGUAGUACUGGAAUGACUUCAGCCCAAAUAUGACAGGAAUGGUUACAACAUUGUAUAACUGAUCUCAACUUAAUUUUCUAAUAUCGAGGUGCAGUUAAUUGAUUGACUAAUACUUACCGAAGCUGAAACCUUGUUGAAGGCAAUAACAUCUGCCAAGGAUCGGACUCGAGUGUAGACUAACUUUUUAAGAUAUGCAUUUAGGUUCAUCUUGGAUUCAGCAGAAAGUGCUAUGCGUUGAGCAACAACAAGAGCAUCUUGGACCAAGUCGAUGUUAGGUAUUUCCAGGUUGUCAACUAAUACUGCUCCUUUUUGCCUUCAAAUAUUUCCAAGAAAAAAAGAUGCAUCUCUUAUAGGAUUAACAUAAUAAAUCAAAAUCAAACAUGAUAUUUGGACACAAAAUAAUUACCAUUGACAACAAUCACGCACCAGAGGUUAUGAGAUAACUCUGACAAUGUGCUUGUAUAAGGCAUAAUACAUAAGCAUACACUCAAACUUGGUCUCAACUGGCAAGUAGGCACUCAAGCUUUGAGAGUGCACAUCUAGACACCGGAACUUGGUCUCAACUGGGAACUAAACACUCCAACUUGUCCCCACUGUGUUUCGUGGACACUAGACACUGACGUGACACAUAAAUUUUGGAGUUGUCUAUCAUUUUGUAAGUUAAAGUGUUCAGAAGUGACACAUAAAUUUUGGAGGUGUCUAUCAUUUUGAAAGUUAGAGUGUUUAAUUGACGCAAUGAAGAAACUAGUUGAGGUGUCUGGAUGUGCAUAUUAAAAGUUGGAGUGUUUAGUUGCCACUUGAGGUCAAGUUAAAGUGUCGAUCUAUGUACUAUGCCUUUAUAUAAGGUCUAGAGAGAGAACCUAGCUGAAACUAGUGAAAUCGUGAGGGCCCUCCCAUACGCCUAUCAAGUUGAGCCUACACUCACCGCCGGCUAUACAGGACCGGCCAAGCACAUAAAGUGCACGGUCUAAUAAUGAGUAAAACUAAACUAUAGAAAUAUAAGUACAAGUGAAAAGGAUUACCUAAAGGUGUUAAAAUGCUGUUGGUACGUCUUGAUAUCAUUGGAACCAAAAAGGUCCUUUGAAAUACCUAGUCUUUUAUCUUUGAGCCCAUCAGCCUUAAGAAAUUGCCGGUAUCCACCAUGUGGAAUGUAAGUGGAAGCCUUUUUAGUUGCUGGAAAAUCAUCUCGAUCGAAGCCAACAAUGGCAUCAAGAACCUCAACAGCAUCAGAUACUGUCCUGCAGAUUGGCCUGUUCUACGACAAAAAAGCAUUGUAUGAAAACAUUUUCGAUGUCUUCCAUGAUCAUGUUUGUUACCAAGUACUUGCAUUUUUGCUACUCUAAUGCAGCCUACAACGUCUAAAUUGUGGAUCUAAUACUAAAAACAAGUAGUCCUAUUUUGCAUCAUCAAAUUUUUCGCAGCUGUUCAAAACUCUGGCAUUAUAUAGUUCCACAAAGAGAAAAAAGAAUACUCCAUCCAUCCAAAAAGAAUGACACGUUUCCAUAUCUGAAAUUUUACUCUAAAUUUCUCGUUUAACCCUUAAUAAAAUGUUUCUAUAGCCACAUCAAUUCUAUAACAACCACAAUUUUCAACUUUCAAAAGCCAACACAAAAAAUGAGUCUUUUAGCGAAGUUAGCAUAUUUUGUCAAGAGGAAGAAACUUAUUACAUUGUAGCCGCUCAUGGUUAUUUUUGCUGAUUGGUCUUCCAAUGUGCUAGUUUCAAUGACUCUCUUUCGUUACAUUUCUUCCUUGCUGCUUGGCAUAUAGUGUCAAAUUUGUGCCGAAUGUCUCUCAAUGUUGAGAGUCUUGCCAUUAAAUAGAAAGUAUUCAAAGAUUACAUCCCAAAAAAUCCGCCUUUCCUGUCGCUACUAUCCCUUUGAAUCCGCUAUUGUAUCCCUUAUAAUCUGCUAUUCUAUAUCUUUGAUUACUACAUCAUAUCUCUAUAAUUACGAAUAUACUACAAUAUAUAAUUACAUUAAUAUAUACAAUAUUCACUAUUAAUUCAUGAUCUUUGAGUUGUCCAUCAUGCUAACAUAUAGUAGGUAUCUGGUUUACCGCCAGUGGCGGAGCCACAGCCAACGAAGGAUGGUCAGAUGAACACCCUUCGUCGAAAUUUUUUCUGACCAUCCUUCGUCGGAAUUUUUUUUCGAGUAUAUAGGUUAAAUAUAAUAUAGAAAUGUUGUUGCACGCCCUUGACAAGCUAGAGAAGCAUAGUCUAUGUGAAGAAAUGGACCUUGGGCCUAACUCAAUCUCAAAAGCUAGCUCAAGAGGUGAGGAUUACCCAAGUCCAUAUAAGCAAACCACUAGUCCAUUCCCCAACCAAUGUGGGACUUUUACCCACUCUAACAUUCUAGUGGUUAAGAGUGUGCAUUUCCGCAUCAACAACCCGGGUUUAAAUCUUGACAGGUGCAGCAGUGCUUUAUUUUCUUUGUUUUUUAAACAGUUCUUUGCCCAAGGAAAAAUAUAAACACCCUUAACCAAAAGUCUGGCUCCGCCACUGUUUACGGCUUUCGAUAUCAACACUAUGGUUUUCAAUCUAAAUAGUUUUAAUUUCAACCAAUCUACAGUUGAUAAUCAAGGGCUUUCCUUUCUUUCUUAAAAUACAUGCCAAAUCAAACUUUCUUAAAAUACAUGCCAAAUCAAACUAUGUCACAUAAAUUGUGACGAUUAAUUUUUACUUACCCAACAGUGUCUUGCCUAUGUGAAAUUGGGAUAACACCUGCCCUGCUAGUGAGGCCAACAGUUGGUUUGAUUCCAACAACUGAAUUAGCAUUGGCUGGAUAUAGAAUGGAUCCUGCUGUUUCUGUCCCCAAUGCUAGUGCUGCAAGGUUUGCUGCUACUGAUGUUGCAGAACCAGUGCUUGACCCUGAUGGAUCAGCACUUGCUACAUAAGGAUUCUGUAAUAACAUGAGUAAAAACACCAAAUACAUUUUUAGUCAAAUUGUUCUUAAAAAAAAAGGCAAUCUGGUGCACGAAACAUUCUGCAUUCAGGCAAAAUCCGUCAAUGCCAGCAACAUCCCAAGAGGGUACAAUGUAGGUAAUCUACCCCGACACAAGCAACGGCUCGCAAAUGUGAGGUCACACGAAGGUAGCUUUACCUUUGCUCCAACUUAAAGUAGUAUAUACACUAAAUUUGUUUGUGGCACGGUGUUUAAGAAAGUAAAGAAGAUUCUCCAAUCUUGUGAUCUCAAAUAAGGGGAAAGGACAUAAAUGUCACCUCGCCUAAAAUAUUUCCACUGAUAUAGGCAUUGAUUUGGCAAUUCCAAUAGAUAGCCAUUUAGGCUUUUCUGUCGCUGCGACUAUCCUUCUUUUUUUUUUUUUUUUCCUUAUUUAUUGUUUAAUUUUUAAUGUCAAUUAUUUUAUAGGUUACAUUCUCUUCCUUCCUAUUUUUUUUGUUUGUUUUUCACUAUUUUUUUUCUUCUCUCUUUUAAUGUUGUUAAUUUUUUUUUUUGAGAAAAGUCCACUCUGUCCACCUAUUUAUUUUUGUAGAUGCGAUCACGAAAAUAAAAAUAUGAAAUACAAGUCCACCCAUAAUGUUCUAUCUCUUUUCAUACGAGUUAACACUAUAGCGGCACUUUGAUUUUUUUUCUUUCUGCUCUCUCUCUUUUUAAUUAAAAAAAUUAUGGAAUGUUUGGAUAGUAAGGGUACAAGGUUUAAUAAAUUUUGUAUAUGCUUGCACAAAUUUUCACAAAAUUUUAGGUGAAGUUAAAAAAUUCACGAAUAACGAAUUACUAUAGAUGCUUGCACAAAUUUUCUCUGUAAAAGGUGUAUUUAUGUAGUAUAUAUACUGUAUCAACGUGGUAUAAAAGUGUAUCAAUCUAGUAUAAAAGUAUAUCAAUGCGGUAUCAAAGUGUAUCAAUAUGUAUAAAAGAGUAUCAAUUGGUAUAUGGACUGCAUGUACUUGCAUAAAUUUUUUUUUUUUAAAAGUGUCUCAACAUAAUAUAAAAGUGUAUCAAUGUGGUAUAAAAGUGUAUCAAUUGAGUAUAGAGACUGCAUGUUCCCAAUUGGGCCAAAUGGCUAAAAAGAGGAAUUAAAUUGGGCCGACUGGCUAAGGUUGUCCACCUUUUCAAUUAUGGGCCAUUUUUUUUUAAAAAAGUCAGCUCAUGUCCUUUUCCCCUCAAAUAAUAUACCAAAAUGUCCUUUAAUCUCAUGAUCAUAAACAUGUCAUGAAAAAGUUGAAAUUAAAGAUUUAUAAAAAAAGGAGAUCUUAUUGAAACAGACCAAAAAGAAAAGUAAUACAAACAAACUAAAACAGAGGGAGUAGUUUUUUUCCAGAUCAUAUACUACUUUAAAUCUUUGUUUCUCUUUCAUCCCUGUCUUUUGCAUCUUAACUAAUCACAAAGGUUGCAAAAUAAAUCUAUUUUUACUAACUAAACGACUUAAGUUAUGACUAUUUUUUGACUUGACCCAACCCGCACAUUUAUCACCCAUGGCGAAUCAAACUAUAUAUAUUAUUAAAUAUGACUCACCAGAGCUUGGCCAAGUCUUCCAUUCCAACCAUUAGGCAUCGUUGAAGAUCUAGAAGCAGCCCACUCAGUCAUAGUUACCUUGCCAAGUAUGAUAGCACCAGCAUUCCUCAACUUCUUGACCACACCAGCAUCUAGUGGCACAAUGGAUCCAACAAGUGCUAAUGAUCCUGCUGUUGUGUUAAGCUUAUCUUUUGUUGCAAUGUUGUCUUUGACAAGAACUGGUAUACCAUGUAGCCUGCUGGACAGUAGCGCCCCCGAUUUUCGUUCUUGAUCAGCUUUAUCUGCAAGAAAGAAUGCAUCUGGGUUCACUUCUAAGAUCCCUUUAAGAAUUGGAUUAGCUUUCUGGAUUUCACUUAGAUAGAACUCAACAAGUUGUCUUGAGGUAAGUUUGUUUUGCUUGAAAGCUAUUUGAAUAUCAUCUAUAGUUGUUUCCUUAAAUGAGAAUGUUUUUGCCUCACUGAUGUUACUGAAGUUGGAUAAUAUCAUGCACAGAGAAAUGAAGAGAAUGGAAAGAAGAGACAUUUUUUGUUUU